GAAACGCCAGGCAAGGCUAGUGGUGGUUCUUCUGGGGUGAGGGAACCUGGGUAAUUGCCAUAGAGAUGCCCUCCUCUAACCAAGCCAACUGUUACUUUUUGCUGGAUUCCUUGAAGUCUCCCCCUCAUGUACACAGUUCAGGAGUCAACCAAGGAUUUGGCCAGAACGUGACUGCAGUGGACUUUUACUUCAUGGGGAAUCUGUCAUCACCUUGCACUUGAAGAAACACAGAGAUCCUCUACAUCCUCUUGCCAGUGUUUAUAUCUGCUCCACAUUUCCAUAUUUACAUGUAUAUGUUGUGAUCUGAGUUUUCUGUCAUUUCUUAUACUAACACUGAAUCUUGCUUUAAGCAAUAUCCUUAAUAAGUGCAAAUAAAAUGCUUGUGAAACAAAUGCAGCUUUAAUGCAGUAAUAAUGAAGGCUACAGUUUACUGAGAGCCAGACUUUUUUCCAUGUGCUUUAUGUGUAUUAGUGUAUACACAACAACCCAUUUAGGCAGAAGUUCUUAUUAUCCCCUCUUUACGAAGGGAAAAACUAAGACAUAUAAAGGUUAAGUCAUUUGUCCCCGAUCACUCAGAUAUAAGUGGCAGAGUUAAGUAAGGCUGGAGUGCAGACAGUCUGGCUCCAUCCUCUUAACCACCCUAUUAUGCAGCCUCUUUUCACUUAGGAAACUAGUGAAAGGUUCUUUCUAAAUCACAACUCUGAUCCUUGUCACUAACUUCUGAUGAAACCAUCCUUACAUGGUUAACAAGAAUUACAUGCUGGGUUCUGGACAGAAAUAUAUUAAUAGUUAUAAUUAAGCAUUAAUCAGGCUACACUUUGUCCCACUUCCUUGUAGCUGCUUAAUAACCAAAAGUCACUGACCAUUUGCAUCUCCAUUGUCCCUACAGAUAGGAUCUCUGACGUUAGAAUCAUAGGGUGUUUUUUUAAGAAUUGCUUAAGAUGUUUUUCAGAUCCUGAAUUCCAGCAGAACAGGCUGAUGCCAACAAGUUUGAAGAGCCCCCGCAGAGGAACUGAAUCAGCAUGAGAAUGCAGUUUCUUCAACUCUCCAUCCCAUGACUUCACUUUUUUUGACCAAUCAACUAUCCCCACACCUCAGCCCAUUACUCAUCCAAACCCCUUAAAAUCUCUAGCCCCAAACUCCUUGGGGAGGCACAUUUGAGGUUUCCUCUCAUCUCCUUGUUUGGCUGCCUUGCAAUUAAAC
Molecule: long non-coding RNA, 1203 nt
Organism: Lemur catta (Ring-tailed lemur)
Lineage: Eukaryota; Metazoa; Chordata; Mammalia; Primates; Lemuridae
Exons: 3
Source: RefSeq, a predicted model, not a curated record